RNAcentral lists this ribosomal RNA (460 nucleotides) under uncultured bacterium. Its description in RNAcentral is "partial 16S ribosomal RNA". It matches the Rfam family "Bacterial small subunit ribosomal RNA", at positions 338 to 795 of the family's 1533-position model. The record is from RNAcentral.
CCUACGGGUGGCAGCAGUGAGGAAUAUUGGUCAAUGGACGAGAGUCUGAACCAGCCAAGUAGCGUGAAGGAUGACUGCCCUAUGGGUUGUAAACUUCUUUUAUAUGGGAAUAAAACGCGCCACGUGUGGGUUUUUGCAUGUACCUUAUGAAUAAGGAUCGGCUAACUCCGUGCCAGCAGCCGCGGUAAUACGGAGGAUCCGAGCGUUAUCCGGAUUUAUUGGGUUUAAAGGGAGCGUAGGUGGGUUGUUAAGUCAGUUGUGAAAGUUUGCGGCUCAACCGUAAAAUUGCAAUUGAAACUGGCAGUCUUGAGUACAGUUGAGGUAGGCGGAAUGCGUGGUGUAGCGGUGAAAUGCUUAGAUAUCACGAAGAACUCCGAUUGCGAAGGCAGCUCACUAGACUGCAACUGACAUUGAGGCUCGAAAGUGUGGGUAUCAAACAGGAUUAGAUACCCUAGUAGUC